RNAcentral lists this ribosomal RNA (981 nucleotides) under Fusarium falciforme. Its description in RNAcentral is "partial large subunit ribosomal RNA". It matches the Rfam family "Eukaryotic large subunit ribosomal RNA", at positions 98 to 1110 of the family's 3401-position model. Lineage: Eukaryota; Fungi; Ascomycota; Sordariomycetes; Hypocreales; Nectriaceae. The record is from RNAcentral.
GCGGCAACAGCUCAAAUUUGAAAUCUGGCUCUCGGGCCCGAGUUGUAAUUUGUAGAGGAUGCUUUUGGUGAGGUGCCUUCCGAGUUCCCUGGAACGGGACGCCAUAGAGGGUGAGAGCCCCGUCUGGUUGGACACCGAUCCUCUGUAAAGCUCCUUCGACGAGUCGAGUAGUUUGGGAAUGCUGCUCUAAAUGGGAGGUAUAUGUCUUCUAAAGCUAAAUACCGGCCAGAGACCGAUAGCGCACAAGUAGAGUGAUCGAAAGAUGAAAAGAACUUUGAAAAGAGAGUUAAAAAGUACGUGAAAUUGUUGAAAGGGAAGCGCUUGUGACCAGACUUGGGCUUGGUUGAUCAUCCGGGGUUCUCCCCGGUGCACUCUUCCGGCUCAGGCCAGCAUCAGUUCGCCCUGGGGGAUAAAGGCUUCGGGAAUGUGGCUCUCUCCGGGGAGUGUUAUAGCCCGCUGCGUAAUACCCUGUGGCGGACUGAGGUUCGCGCAUUCGCAAGGAUGCUGGCGUAAUGGUCAUCAGUGACCCGUCUUGAAACACGGACCAAGGAGUCGUCUUCGUAUGCGAGUGUUCGGGUGUCAAACCCCUACGCGAAAUGAAAGUGAACGCAGGUGAGAGCUUCGGCGCAUCAUCGACCGAUCCUGAUGUUAUCGGAUGGAUUUGAGUAAGAGCAUACGGGGCCGGACCCGAAAGAAGGUGAACUAUGCCUGUGUAGGGUGAAGCCAGAGGAAACUCUGGUGGAGGCUCGCAGCGGUUCUGACGUGCAAAUCGAUCGUCAAACAUGGGCAUGGGGGCGAAAGACUAAUCGAACCUUCUAGUAGCUGGUUUCCGCCGAAGUUUCCCUCAGGAUAGCAGUGUUGAACUCAGUUUUAUGAGGUAAAGCGAAUGAUUAGGGACUCGGGGGCGCUAUUUAGCCUUCAUCCAUUCUCAAACUUUAAAUAUGUAAGAAGCCCUUGUUGCUUAAUUGAACGUGGGCAUCG